This 440-nucleotide ribosomal RNA is filed under the name uncultured bacterium. RNAcentral describes it as "partial 16S ribosomal RNA". It matches the Rfam family "Bacterial small subunit ribosomal RNA", at positions 338 to 795 of the family's 1533-position model. The record is from RNAcentral.
CCUACGGGAGGCAGCAGUGGGGGAUAUUGCACAAUGGGGGGAACCCUGAUGCAGCGACGCCGCGUGGGCGAUGGAGUGCCUCGGCAUGUAAAGCCCUAUCAGCAGGGAAGAAAAUGACGGUACCUGACCAAUAAGCCCUGGCCAAAUACGUGCAGGCAGCGGCGGUAAUACGCAGGGGGCCAGGGUUAUCCGGAUUUACUGGGUGUAAGGGGAGCGUAGGCGGGUUGGCAAGCCUGAUGUGAAAUUCCGGGGCCCAACCCUGGGGCUGCAUUGGGAACUGCCAGGCUGGAGUGCCGGAGAGGCAGGCGGAAUUCCUGGUGUAGCGGUGAAAUGCGUAGAUAUUAGGAGGAACACCAGUGGCGAAGGCGGCCUGCUGGACGGUGACUGACGCUGAGGCUCGAAAGCGUGGGGAGCAAACAGGAUUAGAUACCCUAGUAGUC